Molecule: transfer RNA, 66 nt
Filed under: Helophilus continuus
Lineage: Eukaryota; Metazoa; Arthropoda; Insecta; Diptera; Syrphidae
Description: tRNA-Pro
Source: RNAcentral
CAAGAAGUAGUUUAAUUAAAAUAUUAAUUUUGGAGAUUAAUGAUAAAGAUGUUUCUUUUUUCUUGA